UGCCAGCCGCCGCGGUAAUACGGAGGGUGCGAGCGUUAAUCGGAAUUACUGGGCGUAGAGGGCGCGUAGGCGGUUGCUUAAGUCAGAUGUGAAAUCCCCGGGCUCAACCUGGGAACUGCAUUUGAAACUGGACGACUAGAGUUUUGUAGAGGGAGGUAGAAUUUCAGGUGUAGCGGUGAAAUGCGUAGAGAUCUGAAGGAAUACCGGUGGCGAAGGCGACCUCCUGGACAAAAACUGACGCUGAGGCACGAAAGCGUGGGUAGCAAACAGGAUUAGAUA
Molecule: ribosomal RNA, 279 nt
Filed under: uncultured bacterium
Lineage: Bacteria
Description: partial 16S ribosomal RNA
Rfam family: Bacterial small subunit ribosomal RNA
Source: RNAcentral